GACGAACGCUGGCGGCGUGCCUAAUACAUGCAAGUCGAGCGAAUCGGCAGAUGGGUGAGUAACGCGUGUGUAACCUGCCCUUAAGUCUGGGAUACCAUUUGGAAACAGCUUCUAAUCCCGGAUCCUAAAGGAUGGACCUGCGGUGCAUUAGCUAGUUGGUAAGGUAACGGCUUACCACGGCGAUGAUGCAUGGCCGAGUUGGGAGAUUGAUCGGCCACAUUGGGACUGAGACACGGCCCAAACUCCUACGGGAGGCAGAAGUAGGGAAUCUUCCACAAGGGACGAAAGUCUGAUGGGGCAACGCCGCGUGAGUGAAGCAGGUUUUCGGAUCGUAAAGCUCUGUUGUUGGUGAAGCGGUAAUCAACCAGAAAGUCACGGCUAACUACGUGCCAGCAGCCGCGGUAAUAC
RNAcentral lists this ribosomal RNA (408 nucleotides) under uncultured bacterium. RNAcentral describes it as "partial 16S ribosomal RNA". It matches the Rfam family "Bacterial small subunit ribosomal RNA", at positions 28 to 526 of the family's 1533-position model. The record is from RNAcentral.